RNAcentral lists this ribosomal RNA (253 nucleotides) under uncultured bacterium. RNAcentral's name for it is "partial 16S ribosomal RNA". It matches the Rfam family "Bacterial small subunit ribosomal RNA", at positions 524 to 776 of the family's 1533-position model. The record is from RNAcentral.
GACGAACCGUACGAACGUUAUUCGGAAUCACUGGGCUUAAAGGGUGCGUAGGCGGCGCGACAAGUUGGGUGUGAAAUCCCUCGGCUCAACCGAGGAACUGCGCCCAAAACUGUCGUGCUCGAGGGAGACAGAGGUGAGCGGAACUUAGGGUGGAGCGGUGAAAUGCGUUGAUAUCCUAAGGAACACCGGUGGCGAAAGCGGCUCACUGGGUCUCUUCUGACGCUGAGGCACGAAAGCUAGGGUAGCGAGCGGG